This 481-nucleotide ribosomal RNA is filed under the name uncultured bacterium. RNAcentral describes it as "partial 16S ribosomal RNA". It matches the Rfam family "Bacterial small subunit ribosomal RNA", at positions 28 to 507 of the family's 1533-position model. The record is from RNAcentral.
GAUGAACGCUGGCGGCGUGCUUAACACAUGCAAGUCGAACGAAGCAUUUGUGUCAGAUUUUUUCGGAAUGCAAAUGCUUAUGUAAGAGUGGCGGAAGGGGGAGUAAAGCGUGGGUUAACUGCCUUGUACUGGGGGAUAGAAGCGGGAAAAGGCUGGUAAUACCGCAUAAGCGGACAGUGUUUCAUGACAUGGUGGGGAAAACUGCGGAGGUAUAAGAUGGAGCCGCGUUUGAUUAGCUAGUGGGAGAGAUAACAGCCCACCGAGGCGACGAUCAGUAGCCGGCGUGUGAGGGUGACCAGCGAGAUUGAGACUGAGACACGACCCAGACGGCUGCGGGAGGCAGCAGUGGGGAAUAUAUCAGAAUGGAGGAAACGCUGAUGCGCCGACGCCGGGUGGAUGAAGAAGUAAUUCUUUAUGUAAUGCUCUAUCAGCAGAGAAUUUAGUGACGGUACCUGGCGAAGAAGCUCCGGCUAAAUACGUG